Rhododendron vialii is the source of this 528-nucleotide long non-coding RNA. RefSeq lists it as uncharacterized. The record is from RefSeq and is a predicted model, not a curated record. The transcript has 3 exons. Lineage: Eukaryota; Viridiplantae; Streptophyta; Magnoliopsida; Ericales; Ericaceae.
CCGCUCAACCCAGACACAGAGAGAGAGAGAGAGAGAGAGGGAGAGAAGAUGACGAAGACAGAACAAGAAGAAGGAGAAGGAGAAGUCACAGAUCUCUUCAAAACCUCCAGUCUAUACUAGGGUUUUGUUUGGAAUGAUACCCACGACGAACAAGGACGAGGGUUUUGUUUGGAAUGAUACCCACGACGAACAAGGAGGACGAAGACCCGACCUUCCUCGAGCCCUGCAGCAAGCGGUGGAUUGAUUGGUGCGACGAGUACACUCAGAAUGUUGCACAUUCGGGAGAUGAUAUGUCACGCCAAUUGACUGGCCCAUUCCAUGAUUUCAAAGUCGACCUCCAACGCUUAGCAGGAUGCAUGUUAGCCAUAGAUAAUUCAGUUCGUGUUGUAAUUGUUCUUGGGAUUGUAAUUUGUGUACUCCAAGCAAUUCAACUUAUGCGUAUGUAAUUGUAAUUUGUUGUCGUACUAGUAAGUUUGGAAAGGAAUUGGAGUUGCUUGCAAUCCAACUUAUGCAAUUUGACCUCUUGAA